Molecule: long non-coding RNA, 547 nt
Filed under: Theobroma cacao (cacao)
Lineage: Eukaryota; Viridiplantae; Streptophyta; Magnoliopsida; Malvales; Malvaceae
Description: long non-coding RNA (TCAC_LNC003008)
Source: RNAcentral
CAUGAGGCAACUCGAGUGAAAGUUAAAAAUCAGCUUCAACAUUGCUGCAGCAUUAACUACAACAAGAUAUUGCCAAAAUAUUCUAGAUGAGAAAAGGCAAUACGGAGAUAUCUCACACCUUGCCCAAUUCCUAUCCACCAAAACGUCAGAUUCUUUCUUUGAGGAAAAGCCCACAAUUUACAGAUUAUUUUUUACUGCACUAGACAGUUAUUCUCCUACAAAAGUAGAAACCCUUCCCUUGAAUAUUCGUCCCAAGUCGACAAUUUCAGAUUCUCUCAUCUACUUAUUUAUGCACUGGCCAUAUCCCUGCUGUUGGUUAACAAUCUCGAGUCGAUUGAAUAAUAUCAGCUCUGCCCGUAUCAAUAACGUUCUUGCUCUAAAGAGAGAAUGAAAGGCAUGGGGGGAAGGAAGAUAAAAACUAGAGAAGAACGCAGAGUAUAAGGUGAAGAGGGAAUAGAUCUUAUUUUUCUUUCUUUGCCAAAGAAAUUGGUUCAAUUGUAGAAGGAAAGAGAAGACUGUGGUGGGCGAUGAGAGAAGAGAAUUAUGG